RNAcentral lists this ribosomal RNA (253 nucleotides) under uncultured bacterium. RNAcentral describes it as "partial 16S ribosomal RNA". It matches the Rfam family "Bacterial small subunit ribosomal RNA", at positions 524 to 776 of the family's 1533-position model. The record is from RNAcentral.
GACAGAGGGUGCAAACGUUGUUCGGAAUUACUGGGCGUAAAGCGCGUGUAGGCGGCUCGGAAAGUCGGGUGUGAAAGCCCUGGGCUUAACCCAGGAAGUGCACUCGAAACUUCCGAGCUGGAGUCCUGGAGAGGAAGGCGGAAUUCUCGGUGUAGAGGUGAAAUUCGUAGAUAUCGAGAGGAACACCGGUGGCGAAGGCGGCCUUCUGGACAGUGACUGACGCUGAGACGCGAAAGCGUGGGGAGCAAACAGG